Molecule: non-coding RNA, 103 nt
Organism: Acanthosepion pharaonis
Lineage: Eukaryota; Metazoa; Mollusca; Cephalopoda; Sepiida; Sepiidae
Source: the annotation of a GenBank genome assembly
GACGUUGAAACACUGGUUCACAUAUGAUCACCAUCGAAGUUAAGCAAAGUUGAGCUUGGUCAAUACCUAGAUGGGUGACUGUUUGGGAAUACCUGGUGCUAUA